RNAcentral lists this transfer RNA (66 nucleotides) under Trox sp. TRO01. RNAcentral describes it as "tRNA-His". Lineage: Eukaryota; Metazoa; Arthropoda; Insecta; Coleoptera; Trogidae. The record is from RNAcentral.
AUUUAAAUAGUUUAUAAAAAUAUUGAUUUGUGGAAUCAAAGAUAUAACAAUUAGUUAUUUUAAAUA